Molecule: non-coding RNA, 74 nt
Organism: Parelaphostrongylus tenuis
Lineage: Eukaryota; Metazoa; Nematoda; Chromadorea; Rhabditida; Metastrongylidae
Source: the annotation of a GenBank genome assembly
UCUUUAGUGGUGCAGUGGUAGCGCACGUCUCCGGUACAUGUUGAACGCGAGUUCAACUCCCGCCUGAGGUCGAA